Long non-coding RNA from Alosa sapidissima (American shad), 224 nucleotides. RefSeq lists it as uncharacterized. The transcript has 3 exons. The record is from RefSeq and is a predicted model, not a curated record. NCBI's taxonomy places the organism in Eukaryota, Metazoa, Chordata, Actinopteri, Clupeiformes, Clupeidae.
UCAGUGUUGAGUAGGGAUGGGCAUUGUUAAGAAAUUAUCGAUAUCGAUGCCAUUGUCGAGUCUGCUUAUCGAUGCGAUUCCUUAUCGAUUCACAUAUCGAUUCCUGUACCAUUUGCUGAACACUUAUAGGAUGGCUUUGAGAGUUGUUGGCUUUGAAUGUCUAAUUUAAAUGGUUUUAGAGAAUGAAUAUCAAGUGUGCAAUAACAGUACAGAAGUUGAAUACU